UGACCCAACCUAUAUGCAAAGGAGGCUGGGAAAUGUAGUCCCUGGCUGGGCCGCUGCUGCUUAGCAACAACUCUCCAUCAUGGAAGGGGGACCAAGACUUUUCCAUGGGCAGUUAAGUGUCUUUUUCACGGGAGGCAAAAGGUUUUAUUGCUGAGGUUUUCAUUGCCUUGCUCUGUGAGAGUUUUUGUGCCAGUGUUUGAUGAAUGGUUGUUUUCAUGGCUGCCAAGAGCUGUUGAGUAAGAAUGUAACAGCAGACAUUCAUUUCCUCGCUGUGUUUGUCCAACAACUCACUGUCUCACAGCUGGAAAACUCAUUACUCAUGAGUACUUCUUUCCCAGCUCCUGGCCACCACAAUUCUACUUUCUGUCUCCAUGAAUUUGACUACUGUUAACUCAGACACCGUGUCUUGAGGACACUCAAGAAGCCCUCUGGAGAGUCCCAAGUGAAGAGGACCUGGAACCUUCUGCCAGCUUGUCAUAUGAGAGAGUGCCAGCCGUGUGAGGAACUGAUCCUCCAGUCCCCUGGAGACCUCAGAUGACUGCAGCCUGGCCAACAUCUGACUACAACCUUAUGGAAGCCCACCCCUGAGGCAAAACCACCCACCAAGACUCCCCAAACAGCGAGAUAACAUAUGUUUACUGUUUUAAGCCAUAAAGUUUUGGAAUACUUUAUCACACAACAAGAGAUAACUCAUACAGCUAGAAAUAUGAAAAUAUUUGGCA
This is a non-coding RNA of Microcebus murinus (gray mouse lemur), 722 nucleotides long. Lineage: Eukaryota; Metazoa; Chordata; Mammalia; Primates; Cheirogaleidae. The record is from RefSeq and is a predicted model, not a curated record.